Molecule: long non-coding RNA, 1002 nt
Filed under: Actinidia chinensis (golden kiwifruit)
Lineage: Eukaryota; Viridiplantae; Streptophyta; Magnoliopsida; Ericales; Actinidiaceae
Description: long non-coding RNA (ACHI_LNC002064)
Source: RNAcentral
UCCGAUUAAGCACUAAUCUUCCAGAAAAGCAAAAAGAUGGCAGAAUCCAUAAAGAAAGGAGCCAUCAAAGGCAGAACAUCCAGACCACUCCAAUACUUUGUUGCCUUCCACGCACCACGAACAAAAGGGCAAGCAUGGCUGAAAGGGAUCACACGUCUUUGAGGAUAACUUCUGAGUAGGAAACUGGGGGACUUGUCUAGGUCAUUGUUACACCCUUAUUAGUAGUUGUAGAGGAAUUAGAGGACUCUCAAGUAAGAGCUUUCUUGACCCAUAAAUCGCAUUCUCUAGCAGUAAACAAAACUGAGCUACGCCUUAAAGGAGUUCCGAGAAAAUUAGCUCAUUUCAGGCCCUCCAAAUUGACCACAGAAUAGCUACAAAUUAAAAGCUGGACCACUGAGUUGCAAUUUGCUGGAUUGACAACUAGGCUGUGGGGAUAUCCUAAAGCAUAAAGAACACAAAAAUCAAAUGAGAAUACAAAAUUUACAGGGGAAAAAGUGAUGCUCCGGAUUCAACAACCUUAUAACACAAAGGGUAUAAACUGUCAAGAUAAUGGAUAAUUCUUAAGACACUUCAAAAUUGCAGGCAACUGAAGACCACCUAUAAGCCCCCAACCCUUCUUAGAACCAGUAGGAGGGCCAUGGUCAAUUACUAUGGCCUAUGGGGGCUGUUCGAGGAGAAUUCGCAAAUAAGUUCAUAUCCUAAUUUUGUGGAAAACAAACCAUCGUGGGUUAGAGACUAGAUGAUUUGAUCAUGCCCUAGAGUAUUAGCAAGAGGGAUAGCAACAGGGAUCAAAAUAUCAGCCAAUAAGUUACUAUCGGCCGUUACGUAUUGAGAUUUUGGCCAUCCAAUACCAAUAUUUUAGUAAAUAUCGGCCGAUGUAGGGUUGUAUCACCAAUACUAAUACCAUUACUGAUACAACGAUUUAAAAUCCUGUAUAGCAGGAAUUUCUCUUGCAAUAUCUAGGUGAAACAUGGAAGUAACUUUACCCAAAUCCGAAAGAGG